This 253-nucleotide ribosomal RNA is filed under the name uncultured bacterium. Its description in RNAcentral is "partial 16S ribosomal RNA". It matches the Rfam family "Bacterial small subunit ribosomal RNA", at positions 524 to 776 of the family's 1533-position model. The record is from RNAcentral.
UACGGAGGAUCCGAGCGUUAUCCGGAUUUAUUGGGUUUAAAGGGUGCGUAGGCGGACUGAUAAGUCAGCUGUGAAAGUUUACGGCUCAACCGUGAAAUUGCAGUUGAUACUGUUAGUCUUGAGUAUACAUGAGGUGGGCGGAAUUUGUGGUGUAGCGGUGAAAUGCUUAGAUAUCACAAAGAACUCCAAUUGCGAAGGCAGCUCACUGGGGUAUAACUGACGCUGAGGCACGAAGGUGUGGGUAUCAAACAGG